AAUUUUUGUUGAUCCUCGGCACUAGUGUUUAUUAACUCCUGAAGAACAAGAAAAAGCUAUAACUCGCCUUAUUGAAACAUGGGAAACAUAAAUUUUCUUGAAGAAUAAAGAUUCUCCUAUUUGCGAAUUUACAGAUACUACUGCUAAUGAUGAAUUAACAAUUGAGAGUUCUAUUGAAAAAAGCCAAACCUCAACAGAUCCAUGUGAAGAUUAUUUAUUAUCACAAUCAUCUGUUACAUCCAAUUCGUCUACCUUGCCCUUAACUACAACUUCUGAAAGUAUAUUGAAUAUUUUGAAUGAUUUUAAACAUGUUGAGCGAAUUCCUUAUACUUAUACGGCAGUUAACCAAUCCUGAACUUUAUCAGUUAGCAAGUGUAGUCUUAGCAGUUCCAGCGACUCAGGUUUAGUGUUAGUGUAGAAAGGAGCUUUUCCGGUUUAAAAUUCAUUGUCUCUGAUUUGAGAACAUCAUUAGAUGCAGAACUGUUGGAAGCAAUCAUGCUAGUUAGAAGCAAUGCAAAAUUUAAAAUAUGUCAUUAAAAUAUUAAAUUUUGUUCUUAUUUAUGUGAAAAUGUGAAAUAUAAUAUUAUAAUAAAGCUUAUAAAGAAAACAACUGUUUCAUAAUUA
Molecule: long non-coding RNA, 624 nt
Organism: Metopolophium dirhodum (rose-grain aphid)
Lineage: Eukaryota; Metazoa; Arthropoda; Insecta; Hemiptera; Aphididae
Exons: 3
Source: RefSeq, a predicted model, not a curated record